GUUUACUGAUGCAAAUCAAAAGUUCAAGUAUUUUUUUGAUGCCCUGCAGCACUUUUUGUCAGAAAAAUCUGUUAUGAACAGUUCUGAGCUCACCUUGUAUUCCAAGAUCGUACCUAUAUUGAUGAAAGAUAUGUCAGAUCAGAGCCUCAGAAUCCAAAGGAUGAGGAUCAAAUUUCUAGCAAGCUAUCCAUUUGUCCCGCCAAGCCACUAGGGUCAAAAACCCUGCCAUCAACUGAAACUUAAGUUACAGCAUUGGGUCUGUGCCAACCCUGCCUACUUUAACCAUGUUAGCCCCAUGCAGGCUAAUGAUGGAGGGGUUUGGUUGAUUCUACUUCCAUGUAUAAAAGCUGCAUCCUGCAGUCAUGUACAGUUUAGUUUACAACUGAAAGAUCAAAAAUGCAGGUAGCUGAAUUGACUAUAGCAAUACUAGCACUUGUUGUGGUAGUCACAAGUACUAUCAUAAUGAUCAUUUCGCUUAAGCUGCAAGUGCAAAGCAGCAGAGAGCAAAGUGCUCUUUUAAAGGGAAUAAUUGCCGUAAAUUACUGAGAUAUAGCAUUGCAUGAAUUAAGACUCAUGUUUGUGGUCAUACAGACAGUGGUAGGGGUCACACAGACCAUUCUGGUGACAAUUUCAAUAAAGUAUCAAAUUCAAAGCAAUAGGGAGACAAGCGCUCUUUUGAGGUGGAUAUGAUAUGUAGUUUAUAUGUUUCUUUUAUGUAGUUGUUGGAAUUUUAGCUGUAUUAGUGAUUGUCAUAAAGACAUCUUACUGGAUAUUUCAAUUACUAUCAAAUUCAAAGUAACAGAAAGACUAGCACUCUGUUUUAAAGAGGACAAUUACUCCUUAUAGAACCAGAAACGGGACAAUUACAAGUCACCAAUAACUGUAGUGAUACGUCUUCCAGUUAUUCCAACAACAGUACAGUUGAUGCCUGCUCACAUAAGUAAGACAAUAAUUUUUACUAAAUGACUGCCUCAAGUUGCCACUGUGGUAGCAACAGCAUUGCCUUACAAUCUAACGAUUGAUAAAUCACUAGUGCUGACUUUUGUGCUGUGCAGCUGUACAUGAAUACAACAAGGGGUAUCAAAAGGCCACCUCCCUUGCUCCACCUUUAGCAUCACAUUUGCAGGCUUGCAGUGGCCAUUGGAAGAGUAAAUCUUACUUAUCAAAAUAUUGAGCUAUUGGCCUUAGUCUCAUGAUGGGAGUGUCUGUGGACUUUGUUAGUGAAAUACAUCAGUUGGGAAUUAGAAUAUUUACUGGUUAUGACUUUAGAGGAAAGAAGAAUAUGUAGAACUGUUCCCAGGAAGCUUCUAAGGAUGCAUAAAACAAAAAUGGAGGUCACAGAAGACUUUUGUUGUCUCCACCAAAAAGAUAAGAAAAAAAAAGUUAAAUCCUCCAAAAGGGGCCAUAGAUUUAGUUUGAAAAAAAUGAAAAUUGCUUGUGCCAAUAACCAAAAGUCAAAUAAUGGUAUAUCAAGAUGGAUAAUUUCUGCUAUUAAAUUAGGUACUGUUAACAGCAGUCCCACCAUCAUUUGCUUCAAAUCUAGCCUCAGAAAUAGAUGCCCAGUUGAUAAAUGGUCCCAUGAUGGAAAACAUGCUCGUCUCAUAAAAGUUGAAAGCAAUGGAAUAUACUCAAGACUUAACUUUGCACUUUAACUUAAUACUCUUCUCUUAACACACGGAGAUGUUGUGAGCAAUGGAGGCCCCAUUGCACCAGUUUGUCACAGUUGUCUCAACUUUUGAAAGCAUAAUAAUCAGUAUGACUGAAAAGGUACGAAAUUAUAGAACGUUUAAUCACAUAUGAAAAAGGCAUGGUCAAUCUCUAUGAGUUCAUUGUACUCUUGUGUACUGUUAGUAAUGAAGACUGCUGCCACUGCCACUUUUUCUUCUUUAAGUACUACUGCUGCUCUAAAGAUGCUCUUAAAGGACGUUUAUAGUAUCACACCUAAUGAUACUACUUUAUAGAAUUGGUUGAGAAGAAAAGGCUUAAUUAGUGAUGUCACUGAUCAGUAAUGUAGGAAGUGUCAUCAAGAGGGGAUGAAAGAAACCCUCUUAUAAGACAGUUGGUCACUGUAGGAGGGAUAUCAACAGGAGUUGUAAACAAAAAGUAAGCAUUAGGCAAUAGGGUUGGUUUGAGGCUAAGAAACUACCCAUAAAUAUGAGUGACAAUGAAUGUGCCAUUGGCUCUCAAUAAAUCCUGCAGCUUUAUAUUCCAUUCAGUACAGGCACAGCUCAGGAAAUUUCAUAAGUGUGGAUGAUUCAGUAAUAGCAAAUAUAAACAAGUAAAUAAACUUUUCAUUUUUAAUAGACUGGUAGAGCUUAGGUAUUUUCUAUCACACUUGAGGAUUCAACCCAAAUUGGAGGACUGGGGGAAGUUGCUGAGAUUGACGAAUCCAAAUUUGUAAGCAAAAGUACUACAAGGGGAGGAGGUUUUUGGGUCCUAGGCAGGAAUAAUAGAUGGACAAGACAGACUUUCUUAGUAACUAUUGAGGACUGUUCUAAAGUUAAAUUGAUCUAAUUGCAUUGACUAUAUUGUUCCGUCCUAAGUUUGGGAAAUUAAAGGAUAUUGGGGGCAAAGCUCCAUGUCUAUCCACUCGCUUCUAUUGUUCCUGAACAGUACCUCAUUCUCUCAGGAACAAAGUAGCUCAGGAGUUUUGACGUCUGGAAAAGCUGGAGGUCAUCACCCCAAUGAAGCAUUCAGAGUGGGCAGCACCUGUUGUGCCAAUAGUAAAAGCAUUUGUCUUUGCGGAGAUUACGAAGUAAUGAUUAAUCCAGUCCUGCUUCCAGACAUUUAUCCUCUUCCAAGAGUCGACAAUCUAUUAGCUGCAUGCAAGUCCUUUUCAAAGUUGGACUUAAAACACGCACACCUACAAGUUCCUAAGAGUCUAAAAAGUACACAACCACUAACGUCCAGCAAGGGCUUUUUCAGUAUGAACGCCUACUUUUUGGCAUGUCCUCAGCUCCAUCUAUGUUUCAGAGGAUAAUGGAUAACAUCCUCAAAGAUGCAUAGAUAUAAGUAUGGCACUGUUAAUUAUUCAUGGAAAUUUGUCAAUUUUGAAACAGGUAAGGACAUAGUGUUCAGUUAUGGGAUCUCCCCCAUAAUUCACAACACAAAAGCACAUGUACAGCACAAUCGAUAUUUUUACAACCAUACUUGAAGCAUUCUUCAGUCAUUCCACAAUUGGUAUUUGAAUCAGUAGAAGUUGUGUCACUUUUUGGCUAGCACGCCUUAAACAACGAAAGGAGUGCCGAGUGCUAUGAAAAUAAUCGGAAUAACAAACAGCCUCCAAUCAAUUCUAAAUGAAAACGUAAGACUAAUUUGUAAUAAGUGCCUACACAGUGAGUCGGUACAUCUCCACCGCUUGAAAAAGCUCGCUCAAAUUCAUCAACAACAACAACAUUGCAACAACACUGCUUUUGAUAUACAUGUACUUGGCCAAAAGCAACUAAUUUUGCUACAUUUGAACCCUUAUUACAAAUAAUUUUUAACUUCCACUAAACCAAUAUAGUGACCAAAUGCCAAUUAUCAAAAAACGAAACCAUUGAAAUUAAACUGAACAAAAGAAAAAAUUUCGAUUGCCUGGAAAGCAUCAUUCAGGACACAACUCAUGACAGCCAUUGUUUGAACAAAUUUACUUCAUACCUCAAGAGGAAACUGAUAAAUUUGUAUCUGACUACAGCACUCCUCAGUCUGUAGUAGCACCCAAAGUAAGGUAGAGCAAGUAGAUUAAAGUACAAGAGUAAAGACUUUGGCAGUGACAAAAAAGAUGAAAGUAUUGGAGCUCUCAUGUACCAACAUAGUUUCACUGCAGCAAAGUGAAGUGUAUUUUUAUGACUAUUGGAAUUAAAACAGGAAAAGGCUAAGCAAGAGAAUGUACCAUUAUCAUCAGGAAAAAUAGCUCAGGAUAUUAAUCUAAGUUUUAAUAAAAUUUGAAUGGAUUCCGUACAGGAGGAAAGACAGAGCUUGUGAAAGCAAAGCUGAGCUAAUAUAGGAUUUGUAAUUUUAAGGAAGUUAAUUACAUUGAUUAUAUUUUUUAGUUAUAAAAUAAUUUGUAGGAGACUCAGUCAAAGGAAAUAUUUGGCAUGAUUUGCUAACAUAUUCAGGGAUAAUGAUACCUUCUUUAUUUGGUAAACUGCAUUUUAAGAAACUGUUGUUGUACCUUCCACUUACCACUACUAGUAUCUUUCAAAACAAUUAGUCUGAUGAAGCAGGUUUUAAACCACCAAUGGUGCUUGAAAUUAUCUUACUUUGAUUUUUGUCUAUGCAUCAUAACAAGAUAGUGCACACAACACUGACUGGUGGUAAUGGGCAGUCCUGGGGUGGGGCAUAUUCUGGGUUCAAGUUAGAAACAGCAGUGGCUGUUGACAUUGCAGUGAAAAAGCAAAUUCCAAUUUUGCUGGUUGUUGUCACAUGCAGAGAGGACCUCGCAUAGUCUGCUCAAAUAACCAGGCACAAGGAAGGAAUGUUGGUCUUCUUUGAGACUCACCUCUAGCUGGAGGUGUCAGCACAGCACAUUUCUGGCUCCUUGUCACAUUGAUCAAUAUUAUUAAUUUUUUUAUAAUGUGCAUGUGAGAGAGGUUGAGCUUAUUAUUUUAUUGAAGAUGGAAUGACAGUUGUACUCAUAGUGUGCUUUGGCACAUGAAGAAACACUAGUGAUACUAAUGUAUGCAGCUUACUUGUAGAAUGAAGCUGGCAAUGGACGUAAUUGGAGGGUGCUUUUGCUUUUGAAUGAGCAAACCAUACAAGAGCUAAGAAGAUGAAUAGGCAGCUUGAGGAGCUCAACAUACACACAAGGAGGAGGAGGUGCAGCACAAACCAAAGGCACUACUGAGUGGAACAAAAAUUUGAUUGUAU
Molecule: long non-coding RNA, 4851 nt
Organism: Amphimedon queenslandica
Lineage: Eukaryota; Metazoa; Porifera; Demospongiae; Haplosclerida; Niphatidae
Exons: 11
Source: RefSeq, a predicted model, not a curated record